RNAcentral lists this ribosomal RNA (402 nucleotides) under Staphylococcus aureus. RNAcentral's name for it is "partial 23S ribosomal RNA". It matches the Rfam family "Bacterial large subunit ribosomal RNA", at positions 1 to 396 of the family's 2925-position model. The record is from RNAcentral. Lineage: Bacteria; Bacillati; Bacillota; Bacilli; Caryophanales; Staphylococcaceae.
GAUUAAGUUAUUAAGGGCGCACGGUGGAUGCCUUGGCACUAGAAGCCGAUGAAGGACGUUACUAACGACGAUAUGCUUUGGGGAGCUGUAAGUAAGCUUUGAUCCAGAGAUUUCCGAAUGGGGAAACCCAGCAUGAGUUAUGUCAUGUUAUCGAUAUGUGAAUACAUAGCAUAUCAGAAGGCACACCCGGAGAACUGAAACAUCUUAGUACCCGGAGGAAGAGAAAGAAAAUUCGAUUCCCUUAGUAGCGGCGAGCGAAACGGGAAGAGCCCAAACCAACAAGCUUGCUUGUUGGGGUUGUAGGACACUCUAUACGGAGUUACAAAGGACGACAUUAGACGAAUCAUCUGGAAAGAUGAAUCAAAGAAGGUAAUAAUCCUGUAGUCGAAAAUGUUGUCUCUC